Molecule: ribosomal RNA, 454 nt
Filed under: uncultured bacterium
Lineage: Bacteria
Description: partial 16S ribosomal RNA
Rfam family: Bacterial small subunit ribosomal RNA
Source: RNAcentral
GAUGAACGCUGACAGAAUGCUUAACACAUGCAAGUCAACUUGAACUUCGGUUUGGGUGGCGGACGGGUGAGUAACGCGUAAAGAACUUGCCUCACAGUUAGGGACAACAUUUGGAAACGAAUGCUAAUACCUGAUAUUAUGAUUUUAGGGCAUCCUAGAAUUAUGAAAGCUAUAUGCGCUGUGAGAGAGCUUUGCGUCCCAUUAGCUAGUUGGAGAGGUAACGGCUCACCAAGGCGAUGAUGGGUAGCCGGCCUGAGAGGGUGAACGGCCACAAGGGGACUGAGACACGGCCCUUACGCCUACGGGAGGCAGCAGUGGGGAAUAUUGGACAAUGGACCAAGAGUCUGAUCCAGCAAUUCUGUGUGCACGAUGAAGUUUUUCGGAAUGUAAAGUGCUUUCAGUUGGGAAGAAAAAAAUGACGAUACCAACAGAAGAAGUGACGGCUAAAUACGUG